Peromyscus maniculatus bairdii (prairie deer mouse) is the source of this 2800-nucleotide non-coding RNA. Lineage: Eukaryota; Metazoa; Chordata; Mammalia; Rodentia; Cricetidae. The record is from RefSeq and is a predicted model, not a curated record.
AUGACAUCACAGUGACAAAGAUUCAGUCGUGUAUUUGAAAGUGUUAGGGCAUGAGAGUGAAAGUGAAAACGCUGUAUUCACUGCAUGUCUGUCUUUGAAUCAGUGUAUCUCUUGAGCUGUCCAAAUAUUCUGCUUCUCACACUGGCCAACUGAAGGGAGGGGGCCUUCACUGAGCUUCCCAAACAGACAAGAAGUGUUAUCUAUAUUCCUGGAGCUACGACUUUGGUGCCAACUCAGCUUAGGCCUGGUACAUAAUUCAAUCUUCUCAGAUAACGCUGAACAAGCAUAGCAAGCAUGAGGCAGUGUUUGGAUGCUUUUCCUCAAUGGACGUUGCUUUGGACAGGGACAUUGAGCAUCUGCUAGAAAGGAAGACAUCAUUUGCUGGUGUUGUCUACAGUAGCUACAGACAUCUUUCUGGUCUCUAGGCACAGACUAGUGGGCCUGGCUUGGUCUUCUCUGGAGCCCCUCUGCAAAUCGGGGUCAACAGCUGCACACUUCUCAGCCUGUUGCAAGCCCUCUGCUCGCAGCCCAGACCCCAGAAGGAAGUCAAGUCCUUCGCAGAUUCUCAAUGGGAAGAAGAGCUCGGAGUACUUCUACCUUACAAAAUGCUUGGUUGGAGUUCCCUGCUUCCUCAUCACACCAACUCAGACUUUAACGAUCGUCCUUUGUUGCUUCUUACCCUCCCUGCCAAGAUUUUAAUAAGACCGACCAAAUCCAAGGGUAGCUUCCACAUCACAAAUGCCAUCUUCACACUAAAGAUGGUCAGAAGUGAAUUUUUGUUAAAUAAAUACAUUUGGGUUUGCUGUAACUGCCGAUGCAUUUGAUACUAAGGGAUGGAUUAAGUCCUGUCUGAGUGGAACCGUAUUGUGACAAUUGUUCCAUGGCAUUUCUUCUAUUUACUAUAAAAACUGUUUGCUUGCAUCUAGGGAUGGGCUAAGUAGCCAUGCAAGGAUAUUAAUUCUAUGUAGAAAAUCCAUGGUGCUUCCCUUCUCUUCUGCAGUUGAAAACUCUCUCUCCUUUCCCACUCUGUAGCCUUGUUUCCACCAUUUGGCUGAAGGGCUCAUGCUGGUAUGUCACCUGAGCCAGCUUGUGGUAGGUCUCGUUGUAUAGUCUGCCCAGUAGCAAAAGGGAAUCCCAAAGUCAUGCAACAAACCUUCCCGGGGAAAGCUGGAGUUGCUGGGGAAAGCUAGAGUUGCCCAUAAAAUCAGGUUUUAUUUAUUGACCAAUCAGAGCAACUUGACAUACAGACCAUCCCCCAGCACAGCCAAGUGCAGAGCAUCUCAGACACCUGCACUCAGGCCCGUGGUCCUAAUCAUCCUCUAUGCAGACCUGCUGGGUAAAGCCACGAGGAACCAAUGGGAGUUGCCCAUUGACUGCUGUUGAGUGACUGAAUAACCUUUACUCUUCUCAAUCACGGUGCUGGCUUCUCCUCUCUCCCUUCCUCAAACUAAUGCCCAUUCAUCGGCUGGAUCAUUCACUUAUGUGUGUUAAUUCAACUCUGUCCUACAUGAAAAAUGGUGACAAAGUGUCAGGACUACACAUGAGACAAUGUUAUACAUAACUGCUGUAAGCAACAGCAUUUUCUCCCCUGGUAAAUACCAGUCCCUAAGGGAAAGCAGCUUGAGCCAUUCCCUGUGAAAUCCAGGCUCUCUUUACUCUGGCUGUCUGGGCCAGGUGUUGUUCAUGAUUAAUCAGCUAGAUAUAAAGAAAUGAUAAAAAGAAAACAAAGGCUACAGAGACGCUGGAGCUUCUUCCUGCCUGCCUAAUCUGAGAAGGAAGAAGAGGACUUUCUAUUAUGUAUCCACAGUCCUCAGGCAGCAGAAUCAGAGCCCUGGCUUCCUCUAGGACAGAGCAGACCUGUUAACAGCAGACUUCAGAAUGACAAAAGUGGGUGUGGCCUCUGGACUGUCUACAGGGUCCACUGUGGUCAUCACAGGAGCCUGAGAAUACUGCUUUAUAACCUCGGUGGAAAUAAGCCAUUCAGUCCUCUGCAGGUCGUCCAUCAAUGCCAGGCAACAGAAGUCGGACAACAUAAAAGGCACAUAGCUUGCAGACACCGGCGAGGGCGACUCAUCAACCACAGGCCAUGGGGAGGCAGACAUGCACCACCUGUGCACCAGAGACCCUGGGGGACCUGGAGCACAUGAGCCUUCCCAUGGGUUGAACUGCUGUGUAGCCCCUACGUUCCUUCCUCCUGCCUUCCGACUUCUGAGAAUCAGGACCUUCAUCAGUACCUCUCCUCCUUUCUGAAACAUGAUGACUAAAAUACACGCGAUUGGGAACACAGAUGAAGAUGAGAGUAGAAAGAUUGUAAGAGUCAGAGGACCAGGAUGCCUGCGGCAAAGACUCUUCUGUAUACACCAGGGCAGCUGCACUCAUGGAAUCUUAACAAUCUGGUUGCCUCAACAAGACCUGUGCAGUCCCAACACCAGCCAGCAUGGAUAGGGGAAGUAGCACAGGUACGCACGCCGGAGCGAAGGGCUACUGGUAGUCAGUGACUGCCUUUAGAAGGAGAAUCAGUCUUCUCCAGGGACGAGUCUGCUCAAGGUUAUCCAGUCUCAAGUAGUCAGCCCUAAAUACAUAAACAUAUGAACAGCACUAGAUGGACUCAGUGGGGACUCUGUCUCUGUGUGUGUGUGUGUGUGUGUGUGUGUGUGUGUGUGUGUGUGUGUGUGUGUAAUAAUUUGAAAUGGAGUGGGGAAGACAGAGAAAAGUUAAGGGAGAGAAAAGUAGGGGUGGAAACACAGUACUCACACAUGAAAAUCUCAAGAACUGAAAAAUAAAUUCAUUUACUCAUGAA